Molecule: ribosomal RNA, 503 nt
Filed under: uncultured bacterium
Lineage: Bacteria
Description: partial 16S ribosomal RNA
Rfam family: Bacterial small subunit ribosomal RNA
Source: RNAcentral
AUUGAACGCUGGCGGCAGGCUUAACACAUGCAAGUCGAGCGGAGUGAUGGUGCUUGCACUAUCACUUAGCGGCGGACGGGUGAGUAAUGCUUAGGAAUCUGCCUAUUAGUGGGGGACAACAUCUCGAAAGGGAUGCUAAUACCGCAUACGUCCUACGGGAGAAAGCAGGGGAUCACUUGUGACCUUGCGCUAAUAGAUGAGCCUAAGUCGGAUUAGCUAGUUGGUGGGGUAAAGGCCUACCAAGGCGACGAUCUGUAGCGGGUCUGAGAGGAUGAUCCGCCACACUGGGACGGAGACACGGCCCAGACUCCUACGGGAGGCAGCAGUGGGGAAUAUUGGACAAUGGGGGGAACCCUGAUCUAGCCAUGCCGCGUGUGUGAAGAAGGCCUUAUGGUUGUAAAGCACUUUAAGCGAGGAGGAGGCUCUUUUGGUUAAUACCCAAGAUGAGUGGACGUUACUCGCAGAAUAAGCACCGGCUAACUCUGUGCCAGCCGCCGCCGUAA